This 253-nucleotide ribosomal RNA is filed under the name uncultured bacterium. RNAcentral describes it as "partial 16S ribosomal RNA". It matches the Rfam family "Bacterial small subunit ribosomal RNA", at positions 524 to 776 of the family's 1533-position model. The record is from RNAcentral.
UACGUAGGGUCCGAGCGUUGUCCGGAAUUACUGGGCGUAAAGAGCUCGUAGGUGGUUUGUCGCGUUGUCCGUGAAAACUCACAGCUUAACUGUGGGCGUGCGGGCGAUACGGGCAGACUGGAGUACUGCAGGGGAGACUGGAAUUCCUGGUGUAGCGGUGGAAUGCGCAGAUAUCAGGAGGAACACCGGUGGCGAAGGCGGGUCUCUGGGCAGUAACUGACGCUGAGGAGCGAAAGCGUGGGGAGCGAGCAGG